RNAcentral lists this ribosomal RNA (372 nucleotides) under Bostrycapulus pritzkeri. RNAcentral describes it as "partial 12S ribosomal RNA". Lineage: Eukaryota; Metazoa; Mollusca; Gastropoda; Littorinimorpha; Calyptraeidae. The record is from RNAcentral.
UUUAAGACUUAAAUAAGGAACUACCAGAGUACUACGAAUACCACUAAAAAUUUAAAACUCAAAGAGCUUGGCGGUGCUUUAGACCAACUAGGGGAACUUGUCUCAUAAUCGAUGAUCCACGUAACACCUAACUUUUUUUAGUAAAGCAGCCUGUAUACCGUCGUCACCAGGUAACUUUUUAGAUAACAAAAGUUAGCCAGAAAGAGAAAAAUUUAAUCUAUAAUGUCAGAUCAAGGUGCAGCCCAUAAAGAAGGGAGGAUGAGUUACAAUUCUGACUUUUAUUAAAUAUAUAAAUGAAAAAUUAUAUUGAAAUAGGACUUAGAAGUACAAUAGCAAAUAGAUAAAUAAUUAGAAUAUGGCUCUGAAGUGUGC